ACGGGGUAGGAACGCGUAGGUUACGUACCCUCAGGUCGGGGAUAGCCACGGGAAACUGUGGGUAAUACCCGAUAAUAUCGAGAGAUCAAAGGUGUGAUUCCACCUGGGGAGCGGCCUGCGUAGUAUUAGCUUGUUGGUGAGGUAACGGCUCACCAAGGCGAAGAUGCUUAGGGGGUGUGAGAGCAUGGCCCCCACCACUGGGACUGAGAUACUGCCCAGACACCUACGGGUGGCUGCAGUCGAGAAUCUUCGGCAAUGGGCGCAAGCCUGACCGAGCGACGCCGCGUGUGGGAUGAAGGCCCUUGGGUUGUAAACCACUGUCAGAGGGGAUGAAAUGCCAGAGAGCUAUCUCUUUGGUUUGACAUAGCCUCAGAGGAAGCACGGGCUAAGUUCGUGCCAGCAGCCGCGGUAAUACGAACUGUGCAAACGUUAUUCGGAAUCACUGGGCUUAAAGGGUGCGUAGGCGGCUUGUUAAGUAGGGUGUGAAAUCCCAAGGCUCAACCUUGGAAUUGCGCCCUAAACUGGCGAGCUGGAGUGAGAUAGGGGUGUGUGGAACUUCCGGUGGAGCGGUGAAAUGUGUUGA
This 583-nucleotide ribosomal RNA is filed under the name uncultured bacterium. RNAcentral's name for it is "bacterial SSU rRNA". It matches the Rfam family "Bacterial small subunit ribosomal RNA", at positions 102 to 694 of the family's 1533-position model. The record is from RNAcentral.